UACGGGGGGGGCAAGCGUUGUUCGGAAUUACUGGGCGUAAAGGGCUCGUAGGUGGCCAACUAGGUCAUACGUGAAAUCCCUCGGCUUAACCGGGGAACUGCGCCUGAUACUGGUUGGCUUGAGUUUGGGAGAGGGACGCGGAAUUCCAGGUGUAGCGGUGAAAUGCGUAGAUAUCUGGAGGAACACCGGUGGCGAAGGCGGCAUCCUGGACCGGUAUUGACGCUGAGGCGCGAAAGCCAGGGGAGCAAACGGG
RNAcentral lists this ribosomal RNA (253 nucleotides) under uncultured bacterium. RNAcentral's name for it is "partial 16S ribosomal RNA". It matches the Rfam family "Bacterial small subunit ribosomal RNA", at positions 524 to 776 of the family's 1533-position model. The record is from RNAcentral.